Choloepus didactylus (southern two-toed sloth) is the source of this 1801-nucleotide long non-coding RNA. RefSeq lists it as uncharacterized. The record is from RefSeq and is a predicted model, not a curated record. The transcript has 4 exons. NCBI's taxonomy places the organism in Eukaryota, Metazoa, Chordata, Mammalia, Pilosa, Megalonychidae.
GACGGGUUGGCUGGAAUCCAUGCAGGCAGGGUGCUAGCAGAGUCUCCUUUUCUCUCAGGACACUGGUGCUCACUGAGGGAGCCACGUGUCCUCUGUACCCUAGGGCCUGUGCCUGUCGUUGCCUUCGGUGCUUCCCUCUGAGAGCUCGGCCUCCAGGACCCCGUCUCAUGCAGGGACUGGGUGCGGCCUUGUCCCCCACCACCCUGGGGCGAGCCUGGCAGCCACUGGUGACAAGUGAACCUGUGGGGAUGGGCUGCUGCCUCCGUGCACUGGCUUCCCGCUCUCCACACCACCUUCCCUGCCCUAGCCCCCACCUUGUAAGCCAGGACACCCCAUGCUGUCUUCCUGAGCUUUCCCAAAGUCGGCGGGAAUCUCAGAAUGGCCGUGUUCUGGGAGACACUGGGUCCACCAUGAGAACAACGUGUCUUCCGGGACAGGACUUGUCUGCCUCCUCCUCCUGGGGAAGGCCGGCCACUCGCAGAGUGGGCCUUGCCUUUCGUUGACUUUCUGUGGUUGCAGGAGCUGGCACAGUGUGUGGUGGCCAGUCUUUCUGGGACCACCAGUGUGGGGGGCUGUCCAAGCUCCCCACUGCUAAAGCGGAUGCCACAUGACGGGCUGGCUUGACAACAGGAACUUACGGGCUCACAGUGGCAGAGGCUGGAGGGCUGGCUUCCUCCGGGGUCUCUGUCUUCUGGCUGUGGCCAUCCAUGGUCCUUGGCUUUCCCGUCACAUGGCGAUGCACAUGGCGGUGUCUCCUUUCCCUCCUGAGUCCACUGACUUCCAGUGUCCAGCUGCUCCGUGGCUGCAUUUUUGUGUCCACUUCCCUUGGCUUGUGAGGAUCUGCCCUUUGGACCAAGGCCCCUCCUCCAGCGAGGGCACCUGGACAGCGGCAUCUUCCGAGUCCCAUCCACAGGUGGCUGUGGGGUGCCCAGGCUUUGAGGGCCUGAGCCCCAGGUGUGUGGUGUGGAGCAGCCAGGUCCGGGCUUCGCUGCUGUGAGGCCCAGACAGUGCUGCUGAGGCGAAAUCCGCCCCUGAUGGAGCCCGGGGUCCUGACAUCACAGAGGUUUUCACCUGCUGAGCUCAACAACAGGGUGUGACCCACUGUGGGUGUCCGGGUGGGGGUCCUGCUAGGGCACAUAGGGGGAAGGGGGCUCCCUGGAGAAGGUGGGCUGGGACUUCCCCUCAGGUGAUCCAUGGGGCAGGGAUCAGGGAGAAGCCCGUGUGGGGGACCCUGAAGCCGAGGAGCCGCGGUGGGUGAGGUGGUCGCGGUUGACAGGAAGCGCUGUUUGGACUUCCCACCAGGCUCCCACCUCAGCAGGAGGCACCGAGUCUGCUGAGGAGACGUGAACCGACUGCCCCGUCCUGUCCCUGCAGCCGCUACAGUGGUGGGGACGGGGUGGGGGAGUCUUCUCUGCGGCGAACAUGCCUUCCUCUCCCAGGUUGUAUAUGCAGCGAACUGGCCGAUGGCGGUGCCUGUGGGGAAGUUGAUCUUCAGGAGGUGCCAAUGGGGUCCAUCCACGGGGGACAGAGAACAGAUUCUAAAUACGGGACCGUCUCGCAGGUCAGAGCCCUGGAGAGGAGCUGGAAGGGCGGCGCUUCUGCGGGAAGGUGCUGACUGAUCUUCCUGCGGGGUGAGGCGAGGCCGCUGGAGCCGAACAUGGGGCUGAGACGGCAGCCGGGUGGUUUCCUCUCUCCACCGCGUGCAGUGGACGCCUGGAUCCUGCUUGCAUUUCUAGGGUGGGGCCGGCCCGGGGUCUGCAUGAGGGUGAGGGAUGGAUUCGGGGUCCCUGUUGGGGGCUGU